This 416-nucleotide ribosomal RNA is filed under the name uncultured bacterium. Its description in RNAcentral is "bacterial SSU rRNA". It matches the Rfam family "Bacterial small subunit ribosomal RNA", at positions 9 to 417 of the family's 1533-position model. The record is from RNAcentral.
GAGUUUGAUCCUGGCUCAGGACGAACGCUGGCGGCGUGCUUAACACAUGCAAGUGGAGCGACGAACCAGAGCUUGCUCUGGGGCAGAGCCGCGAACGGGUGAGUAACACGUGGGUAACCCACCCCGAUGACCGGGACAACCCGAGGAAACUCGGGCUAAUACCGGAUGUUCUCUCCUCCUCUAAGGGAGGCGAGCAAAGAUAGCUUCGGCCUUCGCAUCGGGACGGGCCCGCGGCCCAUUAGCUUGUUGGUGAGGUAACGGCUUACCAAGGCGACGAUGGGUAGCUGGUCUGAGAGGACGAUCAGCCACACUGGGACUGAGACACGGCCCAGACUCCUAUGGGAGGCAGCAGUGGGGGAAUCUUGCGCAAUGCGCGAAAGCGUGACGCAGCAACGCCGCGUGGGGGAAGAAGGACC